CUUCGACGCCGCGUGUGGGAUGAGGCUGGGUUGUAACAUGUCAGAGGGGAUGAAGUGCGGAACAUCUCUUCCGUUUGACAUACCUCAGAGGAAGCACGGGCUAAGUUCGUGCCAGCAGCCGCGGUAAUACGAACUGUGCAAACGUUAUUCGGAAUCACUGGGCUUACAGGGUGCGUAGGCGGCUUGUAAGCAGGUGUGAAAUCCCUCGGCUCAACCGAGGAAUUGCGCCCUGAACUGGCGAGCUUGAGUGGGACAGAGGUGCGUGGAACUUCCAGUGGAGCGGUGAAAUGUGUCGAUAUUGGAAGGAACACCAGAGGCGAAAGCGGCGCACUGGGUCCUAACUGACGCUGAGGCACGAAAGCCAGGGGAGCAAACGGGAUUAGAUACCCCGGUAGUCCUGGCUGUAAACGAUGAGCACUAGCUGGCAGCGGCGGAUGCCGUAGCCAACGUAGCGAAAGUGUAAACGUGCUCCGCCUGCGGAGUAUGGUCGCAAGGCUGAAACUCAAAGGAAUCGACGGGGGCUCACACAACCGGUGGAGCAUG
Molecule: ribosomal RNA, 543 nt
Filed under: uncultured archaeon
Lineage: Archaea
Description: bacterial SSU rRNA
Rfam family: Bacterial small subunit ribosomal RNA
Source: RNAcentral